GGGCCCGCACAAGCGGUGGAGUAUGUGGUUUAAUUCGAUGCAACGCGAAGAACCUUACCAGGGUUUGACAUCCUGCGAAUCUCUUGGAAACAGGAGAGUGCCUUCGGGAACGCAGUGACAGGUGGUGCAUGGCUGUCGUCAGCUCGUGUCGUGAGAUGUUGGGUUAAGUCCCGCAACGAGCGCAACCCACGUCUUUAGUUGCCAGCAUUUAGUUGGGCACUCUGAAAGAACUGCCAGUGAUAAGCUGGAGGAAGGUGGGGAUGACGUCAAGUCCUCAUGGCCCUUACGUGUUGGGCUACACACGUGCUACAAUGCUACGGACAAAGGGCAGCAAGUUCGCGAGGACAAGCAAAUCCCAUAAACCGUGGCUCAGUUCAGAUCGUAGGCUGCAACUCGCCUACGUGAAGGCGGAAUCGCUAGUAAUCG
RNAcentral lists this ribosomal RNA (426 nucleotides) under uncultured bacterium. Its description in RNAcentral is "bacterial SSU rRNA". It matches the Rfam family "Bacterial small subunit ribosomal RNA", at positions 917 to 1344 of the family's 1533-position model. The record is from RNAcentral.